AUUGAACGCUGGCGGCAUGCUUUACACAUGCAAGUCGAACGGUAACAGGUUAAGCUGACGAGUGGCGUACGGGUGAGUAAUGCAUCGGAACGUGCCCGAUCGUGGGGGAUAACGCAGCGAAAGCUGCGCUAAUACCGCAUACGAUCUGAGGAUGAAAGCGGGGGACCGUAAGGCCUCGCGCGAUCGGAGCGGCCGAUGUCAGAUUAGGUAGUUGGUGGGGUAAAGGCCCACCAAGCCGACGAUCUGUAGCUGGUCUGAGAGGACGACCAGCCACACUGGGACUGAGACACGGCCCAGACUCCUACGGGAGGCAGCAGUGGGGAAUUUUGGACAAUGGGCGAAAGCCUGAUCCAGCAAUGCCGCGUGCAGGAAGAAGGCCUUCGGGUUGUAAACUGCUUUUGUACGGAGCGUAAAGGUCCUUUCUAAUACAAGGGGCUCAUGACGGUACCGUAAGAAUAAGCACCGGCUAACUACGUGCCAGCAGCCGCCGUAA
Molecule: ribosomal RNA, 493 nt
Filed under: uncultured bacterium
Lineage: Bacteria
Description: partial 16S ribosomal RNA
Rfam family: Bacterial small subunit ribosomal RNA
Source: RNAcentral